Long non-coding RNA from Colias croceus (clouded yellow), 800 nucleotides. RefSeq lists it as uncharacterized. The transcript is spliced from 2 exons. NCBI's taxonomy places the organism in Eukaryota, Metazoa, Arthropoda, Insecta, Lepidoptera, Pieridae. The record is from RefSeq and is a predicted model, not a curated record.
AUAAUGAUACAUAGCUAUAUUCGUCGCGGGUCUGUUUAUAAUUCUGAGCAUUUCAAUAUGGAACAAAGGCUACCUAAUUGUUGAUGUAGUACUCGUCUCGCUACGUUUUUCUGUGCUCAUAAUUUACAUUGAUUCCCAAUGAGAUCUUUUGUAGUUUUUUUUCUUGUUUGUUACGAUUCAUUUCAAGGACACGGUUGAAGUAUAAAUGUUACUAAAAUCAUAAAAAUAAAGCAGUAUCAUUGUGAAACCAGAGGGCGGAAGGACUGCUACCACUACACAAAUAAAAAUUAUAAAAAAAUAAAAAAUGUUCGCCAAACUGAUUAUCCUCUUCGCCGUGUUGGCUUUCGCCAUGGCUAGACCGCAGUUAUAUUCCGGCUAUGGUUACAACGGCUACUCGCCCGGCUACCCCGGCUACUAUGGCGGCUACUCCGGCUACGCAAGCCCAUUGGCUUACAGUGGCUAUGGGGCCUAUGCGGGUUCUCCUUACAGCUACGGUUACGGUUAUUAUUAAAGGAUACAGUUAAGACAAAUAAAUGACAAACAAAUAAAUGUUAACAGUACGAUUUAAACUUAAUGGCGGCUCGGAACAUGGUACGAUCCGAUGCGCAGAAAACAAUUUUAGAUAUUAGCGGGACGUUAAGGGACCUGUGCGCACCCGCACUCGCACCUGCAAUAACUUACGAACCGCGAUUAAGUUUGAAUCGAACUGUACAUGGUAUGAUUGGAACUAUGCAAUAGUUCAAAUGAGAUUUUAAAAUGUUGUAAAAAUUUGCCCGGAUAUUAUUAUAUUGUGAUAUGUU